This is a long non-coding RNA of Homo sapiens (human), 1735 nucleotides long. NCBI's taxonomy places the organism in Eukaryota, Metazoa, Chordata, Mammalia, Primates, Hominidae. The record is from Ensembl.
AAGAUGGGGGGGAGGAGCCAAGAUGGCCGAAUAGGAACAGCUCCUGUCUACAGCUCCCAGCUUGAGCCACGCAGAAGAUGGGUGAUUUCUGCAUUUCCAUCUGAGGUACCAGGCUACACCCUGCAAGGUCAUUAUCAUUAGCUGCACUUUACAGGAGAGGAAGCUGAGGCUCAGAGAAGCAAACUGCCCUCCUACUUAUGUUGAAGACUUUCCCAUCCUAUGAGCCCAGGUGGGAGAAGCUGAAAAUGGCAGAAGGUCACUUUUCCAGCUGCCCUGUGCCUGCACUUCAGGGCCAAGGAGUUUGAAGAAGUCCAAGGUAGAGCUUUCUGGAAAAUCCUCUGGAGAGGUUGAUCAGAAACCUUCUCCCACAUAAACAAAGGACCCAGGAAGAAGCUAAAAAUGGGCCAUGAGAUUGUCUUUAUUCAUCAAGCCUGAAGUUUUCUGACUCUAUCUUUCUUUUCCCGUGGCCACUGUUACCUCUCCAGAACAGACCCCAUCACCUGAAUUCUGCCUGAGCCUCGACAGAUAUGCUCAGCUGCUCUCCCAUGCUGGCUGUUGUUACCCCAACCCACUUAAAAUUCCUUGAGGUCUUAGAAGCUCUCUCCCACCAAGGUGCCGAAAGAAGUAUUUCACAGGUUCUCAGUGACAAUUGUUUAUUGAAAUUUACACUGAUGAGAAGUGGUCCCUAUUAAGGGAAUUCAAUCCAAGGAGAUUGGCUCUAUACUUUGAACCGCUGUGGCCAAAUAAAUAGAUGACUGCUUGCUGCAAUUAUAUUGCUGUGGUCUUUGUAUAAAUAGAUUACCAAGAAUAGGACUCCACACAUCUAUCACCUUGGAAAGCUGAUUUGUAUAAUCUGGACAGGUGGCAAGGAAACGUAACUGUCUGCUCAAGGGAGAGCCUGCCUGGGGCAGAGGAAGAGAGUCUGAGUAGCAUCCCAGUUAAGUGCUCAAGCCCUGAGGUCAGGCUGCCUGCAUUUGAAUCCUGAUUCUGCCACCAAUUUUCUAAGUGGCAUGGCAAUGUUCUUAAACUUCCCUUUGUGUCAUAGUAAGCAACCGAAAAAUGGUGCUGAGGAUAGAGAACUCCAAAAAUAGAAAUUAUUGCUAGAAGGUUCCCUUGCAGUGGAUAUCGGGGAUUCAAUCUGUUAGUAUCCAGAAACUAGUUUUUCUGUUACUUUUGUGAAACCACUCAAGAUCUCUGUUUAACAAGCCUCCCAAAGAUCUUUUUUCAAUAUGUUUAUAUGUCUUGGGGAUUACAGCACUUGUGGGUUUCAGCAGAACUCUUUUUGCAGAGGUCUGGUGGUGUAGGAAAAGGGCUGUAGACUAGGAUCUGGGAGACAGACAUGUCUAUGUUGAGACCUGCCUCUGGAGCACUGGCCACCCUCUCCAAGCUGCUGCAGUUCUCUGAGAUCCAACUGUCUCCCCUGUUACAUAAUCACCACAGUUAAAAUAUCAAAGUUUAUAUCAACCCCAAAAGUUACCUCCUGCUUCUUUGUAAUCUUUGCCUCCAUCCACCCUUAUUCCUAGGCAACCACUGAUCUGUUUUAUGUCAAUACAGAUCAUUUUGCAUUCUCUCUAAUUUCAUAUACAUUGCAUCAUACUUUAUGCACUCUUUUAUCUGGAUACUUUCACUUAACAUAAUUAUUUUCACAUGCAUUCAUGUUGUUGUGUGCAACAACAGUUUAUUAGUUUUCAUUGCUGAAUAGUAUUCCAUUGUGUGGAUAUACCACAUUUGUUUA